Molecule: long non-coding RNA, 328 nt
Organism: Cuculus canorus (common cuckoo)
Lineage: Eukaryota; Metazoa; Chordata; Aves; Cuculiformes; Cuculidae
Exons: 3
Source: RefSeq, a predicted model, not a curated record
CAGCCGCUCCUCCUCCUCAUCCGUGUCGGCGUGACGCUGGUGUGCCAUCACUGCAGGGUCUGUGGCUAAUCAAGGAAGUGGUCUCUCACUGACACACUGAGAAGAAUGAAGUUAGUUCUUCUGUAAUUGAAAGUAUCAGUAGUAAACUUGGCUGGAGCUUGAUUAAUGGUGUAUUAAAAUCAGAAUCUUCAUGAUUAGAAACGUUUUUAAAACAAAGAAAAUUUUCCUGGAGCAGGAAACCAUUUUCCAUCCGAAGUAGCUGUGGACUGGAAUCCUGACCACAGAUCAGAAAAUGUCAGACCAAAAGUGAGAGGAAGAAACUUCUCCU